CCUACGGGAGGCAGCAGUGAGGAAUAUUGGUCAAUGGACGCAAGUCUGAACCAGCCAUGCCGCGUGCAGGAAGACGGCUCUAUGAGUUGUAACCUGUUUUUGUACGAGGGUAAACGCAGAUACGCGUAUCUGUCUGUGAGUAUCGUACGAAUAAGGAUCGGCUAACUCCGUGCCAUCAGCGGCGGUAAUACGGAGGAUUCAAGCGUUAUCCGGAUUUAUUUGGUUUAAGGGGUGCGUAGGCGGUUGGAUAAGUUAGAAGUGAAAUCCCUAGGCUCAGCUUAGGAAUUGCCUCUGAUACUGUUCGGCUAGAGAGUAGUAGAGGUAGGCGGAAUGUAUGGUGUAGCAGUGAAAUGCUUAGAGAUGAUACAGAACACCGAUUGCGAAGGCAGCUUACCAAGCUACUUCUGACGUUGAGGCACGAAAGCGUGGGGAGCAAACAGGAUUAGAUACCCUAGUAGUC
This 460-nucleotide ribosomal RNA is filed under the name uncultured bacterium. Its description in RNAcentral is "partial 16S ribosomal RNA". It matches the Rfam family "Bacterial small subunit ribosomal RNA", at positions 338 to 795 of the family's 1533-position model. The record is from RNAcentral.